This 714-nucleotide long non-coding RNA is filed under the name Ananas comosus (pineapple). RNAcentral describes it as "long non-coding RNA (ACOM_LNC010099)". Lineage: Eukaryota; Viridiplantae; Streptophyta; Magnoliopsida; Poales; Bromeliaceae. The record is from RNAcentral.
CAUUUCUAUUUCCUUGCAUGCAUGUCUAGUUGUGUAGUAUUAUAGACUUGACACUUAAAUCUAGAAUGCAUGAGGAUUAGGGUUGUGACAUGAGAUCCUAUGAUGAUAAGAAAAUAGAGAACUUGGAUUUGACGAUGAAAACUAGUGACAUGUGAACUAGUGUAUAGAAAACAAUUAUAACUUGGACGAGUGGCAUGUAGAUAAUGCAAAUACAUGACGAGUGGCAUGUAAACCUAGUGUUGUGAACCUAGGAUAGAUCGGGUGGCAUUUGAACAUAGUGUAAAGAACACAUUGAUGCAACGAGCUUAGGGAUUAGUUGAGUUUCCCUAGUUAUGGAACAUUGGAUAAUAGUUGAGUGUAGUUGACACUACGGCAUCGAACUUAGGGAUAGUUAAAUUUCCCUAGUGUGAUUUAAUUAGUAUGGUUGAGACACUUGACAUGGACCUAGGGAUAGGUGGACUUUCGAGUGUUUGUUAACCUAGUUGACAGGGUAUCCUCAGUUGGCGAGGAUUGGAUCAUACUCACAUAGUCUGUUUUGGGCUUGUGGUGGUCGCUCCACACAAGCAGUGCACUCCGGAGUUGUCACACGAGCGGGGUAGCUCAUGAGCGGGGUAGCUCAUCGGGUGGGAUACGAGCGGGGUAGCUCCUUACCCAUUGGACUGGGACGUGAGUUGGGGCGAAGGGCGGGGUAGCCUUUCCCCUAUGAGAUUGAGC